This 253-nucleotide ribosomal RNA is filed under the name uncultured bacterium. Its description in RNAcentral is "partial 16S ribosomal RNA". It matches the Rfam family "Bacterial small subunit ribosomal RNA", at positions 524 to 776 of the family's 1533-position model. The record is from RNAcentral.
GACGAACCGUGCGAACGUUGUUCGGAUUCAUUGGGCGUAAAGGGUGCGUAGGCGGCGCGGUAAGUCGGGUGUGAAAUCUUGGAGCUUAACUCCGAAACUGCAUUCGAUACUGCCGUGCUUGAGGACUGGAGAGGAGACUGGAAUUUACGGUGUAGCGGUGAAAUGCGUAGAUAUCGUAAGGAAGACCAGUGGCGAAGGCGGGUCUCUGGACAGUUCCUGACACUGAGGCACGAAGGCCAGGGGAGCAAACGGG